RNAcentral lists this ribosomal RNA (1171 nucleotides) under Bacillus sp. (in: firmicutes). RNAcentral describes it as "bacterial SSU rRNA". It matches the Rfam family "Bacterial small subunit ribosomal RNA", at positions 65 to 1244 of the family's 1533-position model. Lineage: Bacteria; Bacillati; Bacillota; Bacilli; Caryophanales; Bacillaceae. The record is from RNAcentral.
GGCGGAAGGAUUUGGGAUCUUGGGCCCCGAUGUUAGCGGCGGACGGGUGAGUAACACGUGGGUAACCUGCCUGUAAGACUGGGAUAACUCCGGGAAACCGGAGCUAAUACCGGAUAGUUCCUUGAACCGCAUGGUUCAAGGAUGAAAGACGGUUUCGGCUGUCACUUACAGAUGGACCCGCGGCGCAUUAGCUAGUUGGUGAGGUAACGGCUCACCAAGGCGACGAUGCGUAGCCGACCUGAGAGGGUGAUCGGCCACACUGGGACUGAGACACGGCCCAGACUCCUACGGGAGGCAGCAGUAGGGAAUCUUCCGCAAUGGACGAAAGUCUGACGGAGCAACGCCGCGUGAGUGAUGAAGGUUUUCGGAUCGUAAAGCUCUGUUGUUAGGGAAGAACAAGUGCAAGAGUAACUGCUUGCACCUUGACGGUACCUAACCAGAAAGCCACGGCUAACUACGUGCCAGCAGCCGCGGUAAUACGUAGGUGGCAAGCGUUGUCCGGAAUUAUUGGGCGUAAAGGGCUCGCAGGCGGUUUCUUAAGUCUGAUGUGAAAGCCCCCGGCUCAACCGGGGAGGGUCAUUGGAAACUGGGAAACUUGAGUGCAGAAGAGGAGAGUGGAAUUCCACGUGUAGCGGUGAAAUGCGUAGAGAUGUGGAGGAACACCAGUGGCGAAGGCGACUCUCUGGUCUGUAACUGACGCUGAGGAGCGAAAGCGUGGGGAGCGAACAGGAUUAGAUACCCUGGUAGUCCACGCCGUAAACGAUGAGUGCUAAGUGUUAGGGGGUUUCCGCCCCUUAGUGCUGCAGCUAACGCAUUAAGCACUCCGCCUGGGGAGUACGGUCGCAAGACUGAACUCAAAGGAAUUGACGGGGGCCCGCACAAGCGGUGGAGCAUGUGGUUUAAUUCGAGCAACGCGAAGGACCUUACCAGUCUUGACAUCCUCUGACACCCUAGAGAUAGGGCUUUCCCUUCGGGACAGAGUGACAGGUGGUGCAUGGAUUGUCGUCAGCUCGUGUCGUGGGAUGUUGGUUAGGUCCCGCACGAGCGCAACCUUGAUCUUAGUGGCAGCAUCCGUGGAACUCGUACUGACUGCCGUGACCACGGAGGACGUGGGAUGACGUCAUCAUCAUGACCUAUGACUGCUUACACGGCUCAAUUGACAGGACCGAAG